Molecule: ribosomal RNA, 253 nt
Filed under: uncultured bacterium
Lineage: Bacteria
Description: partial 16S ribosomal RNA
Rfam family: Bacterial small subunit ribosomal RNA
Source: RNAcentral
UACGGAGGGUGCAAGCGUUAUCCGGAAUUACUGGGUUUAAAGGGUGCGUAGGCGGCUUCAUAAGUCAGGGGGGAAAGCCUAUCGCUUAACGAUAGAAUUGCCUUUGAUACUGUAAAGCUUGAAAGGGGUUGAGGUCAGCAGAAUGUGGCAUGUAGCGGUGAAAUGCAUAGAUAUGCCAUAGAACACCGAUUGCGAAGGCAGCUGGGUGGGCCUACUUUGACGCUGAGGCACGAAAGCGGGGGGAGCGAACAGG